CUAAGGCUCCAGAGGAAGCCACGGCUAACUCUGUGCCAGCAGCCGCGGUAAUACAGAGGCGGCAAGCGUUGUUCGGAAUUAUUGGGCGUAAAGAGCACGUAGGCGGCCUUGCAAGUCAGUUGUGAAAGCCUUCCGCUUAACGGAAGAAUGCCAGCUGAUACUACAGGGCUUGAGUACGGGAGGGGAGGGUGGAACUUCUGGUGGAGCGGUGAAAUGCGUAGAUAUCAGAAGGAACGCCGGCGGCGAAAGCGACUCUCUGGCCCGAAACUGACGCUGAGUGUGCGAAAGCUAGGGGAGCAAACGGGAUUAGAUACCCCGGUAGUCCUAGCCGUAAA
This 335-nucleotide ribosomal RNA is filed under the name uncultured Planctomycetales bacterium. Its description in RNAcentral is "bacterial SSU rRNA". It matches the Rfam family "Bacterial small subunit ribosomal RNA", at positions 473 to 806 of the family's 1533-position model. The record is from RNAcentral. Lineage: Bacteria; Pseudomonadati; Planctomycetota; Planctomycetia; Planctomycetales.